UCGAGAAUUUUUCACAAUGGGCGAAAGACUGAUAGUGCGACGCCGCGUGAACGAAGAAUCCCUUCGGGGUGUAAAGUUCUUUUUUAAUCGAGCAAUGCCUUUUAUGUGAUAAGCAUGAGAGGAGAGAUAUUAGGUUAAGAAUAAGCAACGGCUAACUCCGUGCCAGCAGCCGCGGUAACACGGGGGUUGCAAGCGUUGUCCGGAAUUACUAGGCGUAAAGGGCAGGUAGGCGGAUAUAUAAGUUUUGUGUUAAAGGCAUCGGCUUAACCGGUGUAAGGCAUAGGAUACUGUAUAUCUGGAAUGCGGUUGAGGAAGACAGAAUUCCUGGUGUAGCGGUGGAAUGCGCAGAGAUCAGGAGGAAUACCAAAGGCGAAGGCAGUCUUCUAAGCCGAUAUUGACGCUAAACUGCGAAGGUGUGGGUAUCAAACA
RNAcentral lists this ribosomal RNA (429 nucleotides) under uncultured prokaryote. Its description in RNAcentral is "bacterial SSU rRNA". It matches the Rfam family "Bacterial small subunit ribosomal RNA", at positions 355 to 774 of the family's 1533-position model. The record is from RNAcentral.